CCUUGUACACACCGCCCGUCACAUCACGAAAGCCGGUUGUACCGGAAGUCGGUUCGCUAACCGCAAGGAGGCAACUGCCCAUGGUAUGGUCGGUGAUUGGGGUG
RNAcentral lists this ribosomal RNA (104 nucleotides) under uncultured bacterium. RNAcentral describes it as "partial 16S ribosomal RNA". It matches the Rfam family "Bacterial small subunit ribosomal RNA", at positions 1379 to 1482 of the family's 1533-position model. The record is from RNAcentral.